GCAUCGGUGGUUCAACGGUAGAAUAUUCGUCUGCAAUAACGAAUGACUCAGGUUCGACUCCUGGCCGAUGCA
Molecule: non-coding RNA, 72 nt
Organism: Cimex lectularius (bed bug)
Lineage: Eukaryota; Metazoa; Arthropoda; Insecta; Hemiptera; Cimicidae
Source: the annotation of a RefSeq genome assembly